CAGAACCAUGGCUCCUGCUCUUUUAUUGCAUGCCCUGCUCCUUCAGUUGACAUUGGAACCUGCCGUGAUGGGAAGCUGAAGUGCUGCAAAUGGAGACCCAGCUCCUAAAUCUGAGACCUCACUGACCACGCAGAUAAGAGCCCUGGGAAUCUGAGACGUCUCCUGCCUUAUGACAUCACAGGAUCUUUGAACUUUGAUGCAAACCCAAGGAGCCUUUCCCAAUGGAGUGAAGAGUCCUGGGAGCACGAGAAGAUCUGAGGAGGAAUUCUUGUACCUCAGAUAGAGAUUUGCAGCUCCAUUUCUAAUAAAAACAAUUCCAAGUGAAACCACAUUGCUGACAUUUGCUGGUGUAUGUCAGGGUGGUUUUGUUGUUAUUACUGUAUACAACAAUCAACUUGUAAAUGAAGUUUAUUUAACUAAAUUAAUUUACAUGCAUGUGUCUUUGAGUCCUAUUAAAUCACCCUUAAAUUGCG
Non-coding RNA from Meleagris gallopavo (turkey), 473 nucleotides. NCBI's taxonomy places the organism in Eukaryota, Metazoa, Chordata, Aves, Galliformes, Phasianidae. The record is from RefSeq and is a predicted model, not a curated record.